AGCUCAAUUGGAUAGAGCAUCUGACUACGGAUCAGAAGGUUAGGGGUUCGAAUCCUCUCGA
Molecule: transfer RNA, 61 nt
Filed under: Geobacillus thermodenitrificans
Lineage: Bacteria; Bacillati; Bacillota; Bacilli; Caryophanales; Anoxybacillaceae
Description: tRNA-Arg
Rfam family: tRNA
About the family: Transfer RNA (tRNA) molecules are approximately 80 nucleotides in length. Their secondary structure includes four short double-helical elements and three loops (D, anti-codon, and T loops).
Source: RNAcentral